Molecule: transfer RNA, 76 nt
Filed under: Clostridium tepidiprofundi DSM 19306
Lineage: Bacteria; Bacillati; Bacillota; Clostridia; Eubacteriales; Clostridiaceae
Description: tRNA-Val
Rfam family: tRNA
About the family: Transfer RNA (tRNA) molecules are approximately 80 nucleotides in length. Their secondary structure includes four short double-helical elements and three loops (D, anti-codon, and T loops).
Source: RNAcentral
GGGCGCAUAGCUCAGCUGGGAGAGCACUUGCCUUACAAGCAAGGGGUCACAGGUUCGAACCCUGUUGUGCCCACCA